GUAGUGACUGCGGAGGAUCAUUA
RNAcentral lists this ribosomal RNA (23 nucleotides) under uncultured Tricholoma. Its description in RNAcentral is "partial 18S ribosomal RNA". The record is from RNAcentral. RNAcentral also lists the same sequence under 1 other name. Lineage: Eukaryota; Fungi; Basidiomycota; Agaricomycetes; Agaricales; Tricholomataceae.